Molecule: small RNA, 70 nt
Filed under: Vibrio cholerae O1 biovar El Tor str. N16961
Lineage: Bacteria; Pseudomonadati; Pseudomonadota; Gammaproteobacteria; Vibrionales; Vibrionaceae
Source: RNAcentral
GAACGACAAAACUCUGACAUUUUUUGAUAGUAGCUUGAUACAUCAAUGCUUUAUGAUGUCAAACCAUGAA